Molecule: ribosomal RNA, 448 nt
Filed under: Scoloderus cordatus
Lineage: Eukaryota; Metazoa; Arthropoda; Arachnida; Araneae; Araneidae
Description: partial 16S large subunit ribosomal RNA
Rfam family: Bacterial large subunit ribosomal RNA
Source: RNAcentral
UUCUUAAUGAUACUUUAUGUUAAGUAAUACCUGCUCAAUGAUCUUUCAAUUGCCGCGGAAUUUUAACCGUGCUAAGGUAGCAUAAUCAUUAGUCUCUUAAUUAGGGACUUGUAUGAAUGGUAAAACAUUUCAAAACCUUUAUUAUUCUAUUAUAUUAAAAUUAAAUUAAGAAUAAAAAUGUUCUUAUUAAAAAAUUAGACGACAAGACCCUAUUGAACUUAACUUUAGUUUAGCUGGGGCAGCUAAUAAAUUAUUAUCUUUUUUCCAUUACUUAUUUAAAAGACCCAAAAUAUUUGAUUAUAUGAAUAAGUUACCAUAGGGAUAACAGCGUAAUAUUUUUCUAGAGUUCUUAUUUAAAAAAAUGAUUGCGACCUCGAUGUUGAAUUAAUGUAACUUAAAAAUGCAAUAAUUUUAAAAGUUAGUCUGUUCGACUAUUUAAACAUUACAU